GCGGCUCAAAGAAGACCGGUAAGGGAAAGAGGCGGGAAAGGGAGGGAAUCGAUACUUUAAGAGCAUUGGCUUAGGCUUCAAGACUCCUCGUGAGGCUACGAAGGUACUUACAUUGACAAGAAAUGCCCAUUCACGGGCAAUGUUUCCAUCCGAGGUCGUAUCCUUGCCGGUGCAUGCCACGGUGCUAAGAUGAACGGAACCAUCAUUGUUCGACGGAAUUACCUACAUUAUGUCAAGAAGUACCGAGGCAAGAGCUUGUCACUUUUAAAUAUAUUGGUCGCUUAACUUCUUCUUUUGUUAGUUGUAACAUGUAAAUUAAUAUGUCGAGAUAUGAGAAGAGGCACUCCAAUAUUCCGCUCACAUAUCACCAUGCUUCCGUGUGAAAGAGGGUGAUCAUGUUAUUAUUGACACGUGCAGGCCUUUGUCCAAAACCGUGAGGUUCAAUGUCUUGAAGGUGGUUCCAGCUGGGUCUGCUGGUGGUGGGAAAAAAGCUUUUACCGGAAUGUGAGCUUGGUGCUUCCAUUUUAGUUGUUACUUCUAGGGAUGAUGUUGAGACUUUUAUGCUUUGACUGCUUCAUUAAUUUUCCUUCGAGCUUCAAAUUUUGAAACUUAAUGCUAGCAAGUUUUGUUAAAGCCUAUGUACUGGGUUGUAAGAUGUUUGUGAUUGAACGCCUUAUAAGAAAAGGAUGUUUGGUGGUUGAA
This is a long non-coding RNA of Lycium ferocissimum, 702 nucleotides long. RefSeq lists it as uncharacterized. The record is from RefSeq and is a predicted model, not a curated record. Lineage: Eukaryota; Viridiplantae; Streptophyta; Magnoliopsida; Solanales; Solanaceae. The transcript has 3 exons.